GCUCAGUGUAUUAAAGACCAUGGACUCUGGAUCCAGCUUCUUGGGUCAAAUCCUUACUCUACUAUUUCCUAGCUGUGUGACCUUGAGAAAGUUCCCUGACUUCCCUGUGCCUCAGUUAAUUCAUCUGUAAAAUGUGGGUAAUAGUACCUACCCCAUAGGGUUGUUUUAAGGAUUAAAU
This is a small nucleolar RNA of Choloepus hoffmanni (Hoffmann's two-fingered sloth), 178 nucleotides long. The record is from Ensembl. NCBI's taxonomy places the organism in Eukaryota, Metazoa, Chordata, Mammalia, Pilosa, Megalonychidae.